AUACGGGGGGGGCAAGCGUUGUUCGGAAUUACUGGGCGUAAAGGGCGCGUAGGCGGGCAGGAAAGUCUCUCGUGAAAUCCCACGGCUCAACCGUGGAAUUGCGGGAGAUACUACUUGUCUUGAGUUCGGGAGAGGAGUGUGGAAUUCCCAGUGUAGCGGUGAAAUGCGUAGAUAUUGGGAGGAACACCAGAGGCGAAGGCGGCUCUCUGGGCUAUGCCUGACGCUGAGGCGCGAAAGCGUGGGGAGCAAACCGGAUUAGAUACCCGGGUAGUCC
RNAcentral lists this ribosomal RNA (274 nucleotides) under uncultured bacterium. Its description in RNAcentral is "partial 16S ribosomal RNA". It matches the Rfam family "Bacterial small subunit ribosomal RNA", at positions 523 to 796 of the family's 1533-position model. The record is from RNAcentral.